GUCUUGUUGAUUAUAAUUUCAAGUCUGGCCUGCCCUAUGAGAAGAUUAAAUGGCCGCAGUAUUUUGACUGUGCAAAGGUAGCAUAAUCAUUAGUUUUUUAAUUUAAAGCUUGAAUGAAAGGUUUGAUGAGAGAAUUUCUGUCUCUAGAAGGAUUUAUUAGAAUUUUAUUUUUAAGUAAGAAAGCUUAAAUAUUUAUAGAAGACGAGAAGACCCUAUAGAGUUUUAUAUUUUACUAGUAAGAUUAAUUUUCAGGUUAAUGAAAUUUUUAAUUUGUUAUUGAAAUAUUUUGUUGGGGUGAUGGAAAAAUUGAAUAAACUUUUUUUUGUAUAAAAACACUUAUAUGUGAUUUUAUGAUCCUAAAAUUUUAGAUUAAAAGAUUUAAUUACCUUAGGGAUAACAGCGUAAUUUUUUAUAGAGUUCUUAUCGAAUAAAAAGAUUGCGACCUCGAUGUUGGAUUAAAGUAAAUUAUUGGUGUAGAAAGCUAAUUAAUUAAGUCUGUUCGACUUUUAAAACUUUACAUGAUCUGAGUUUAAACCGGUGUGAG
Molecule: ribosomal RNA, 544 nt
Filed under: Trigonopterus sp. 688 AR-2022a
Lineage: Eukaryota; Metazoa; Arthropoda; Insecta; Coleoptera; Curculionidae
Description: partial large subunit ribosomal RNA
Rfam family: Bacterial large subunit ribosomal RNA
Source: RNAcentral